Manis pentadactyla (Chinese pangolin) is the source of this 942-nucleotide long non-coding RNA. RefSeq lists it as uncharacterized. The record is from RefSeq and is a predicted model, not a curated record. The transcript is spliced from 3 exons. NCBI's taxonomy places the organism in Eukaryota, Metazoa, Chordata, Mammalia, Pholidota, Manidae.
UUUGGCUUUACCACGAGUUAUAAGUGUGACCAAGUCUUGGAGGAAGGCCUUCUCUCCACACCUCUUUGAGCCCUGGAGAUUUACUGCUCUGAAAAUUUUUGGGUGGGGCCACCUUUGGUUUGGAAAAAUUGCACUGGAUGGAAUUAAACAGACCAGGAAGUCUUUAUUGAAAACCAUCAUAAAAUGGGAGAGAGGCUGAACUCAACUCUACUGAGACAACAGGAUUUUGUGUCAAUGUAUCUACCAUGUCAAAACACAAGAAUGUAAACUUCAAGAGCCCCAGAAGUUCACACUGCAGUAUCGUUGCCCAAGUCUCAACAGAAGUUUGAGGAUCCCAGUACCCUAAAGCUGGAGGCAAUCCUCAGGAUCAUAUUGCUUAAAACCUCCUGUCAAAGAUGGCUGGAUCAAGGUUAACAAGGAGCAGAGAAAGUGAUACAGUUGAGACAGGAAGAGAGAGAGGGUGAGCCAGAGCUGGAGAGGAAGACGGAAGAAACACAGCAGAGACGUGGGGGGAGCCCGUCCACCAUCCUGCUCCAGUUCGCCAGGCCCGUCCGCCACUCUGCUCUUACCUUGGUCUGCUGGCCACUCCUUUCUUGGUGUGAGACUGUGGAGAAAGUGAAGGUUCCUGCGGCCAGGAUUCUCACCUGGCCCUGGUUGGCUCACUCACUACACACAUGUCGGCAAUGCGUCGUUAUUGACUCUAUAUAAAGAGCCCCGCCCAGUGCUCUGGGCGACAUGGUGGCAGGGCUACAAGGCUGCAGGAGAGCAGAGGCUGGAGUGGUGGCAGCGCCGAGGACAGAGACUGGGAUGGCUGUGCCGGCAGAGAGGCCCAGAGGAAGGCUGUGCGGGCAGAGAGGCCCAGAGGCAGAGACCGGCUUGCUGCACGCAGACUCGCUCUGAGUGAGUGGGAUUUUAGUGAUUGACCUGCCACUGUGGAAAUAA